CUGAGCUGGAAAAUAGCACUGAGGUGGUUUCAUGAAAGAGGAAGCAGCAAGGCUGGGCCUUGAAGAACGUGAAGGAGUCACCCAGCUAGAGAGGGCAGGAGGGUGUUCCACGAAGUACAAACAUCAUGAACAGAAAGUCAAAGAGUGAAAGUGAAGGGAGGAUUGGGGAGCAGUGAACAGACAAUGUGAGAGAGCUGCGGCACCAUGGAGAAGAGUAAUGAGAGGGACAUCCUGAAGGAAAGACAAUAUGAAGGACUGUCGAUGCCAAAGAAAGGACUUUCAGCCAUAUGCACGCAAUGGGGAGCAAUGCAAGAUUGUCAACCAAGAGACUGAGGUGACCAGAUCUGCUUCACAGCAGCAGCAGCAGCAGUGUACAUGGAAGAUUAGAGGACCGAGAGAGAUGCAUGUCAGGAAAAUCAGCUAACAGACUCUAAAAUAACUAAGACUUGAGAAAGAUCUGGAUCAAAGCUUUAACAGCAGCAAUAAAGAAAAAAGAAGAGACAUUUCUGUAAUCAGAUCUAGAAAAGUUGAUGACCCCCAGGAUAACAGCCAUGAAAGUGCUGCUACCACAAACAUGAGGAAACUUCUGUUAGGAGUUCAACCUUCAGAGAGGACAGCUGGCAGUGCAAGAUGGUGACAGCCCUGCAAUCAGGAGAAGAAAGUCAUGAGAGUAAGGAAUGAUGGAGAGGGAUGAGAGCGUUUUCUAGGAUUUGAAGACCUGUUUCUCCAGGUUUCCCGCCUCCUUCCACCUUCUGUACAGGACACACCAGUUCCCUCAAGCCCAAAAUGUGAGCAGCUGUCAUUCUCUGCAUAGCCAAGCUCGGCAGUCUGCCGAAAGGGACAAGCCAGUCCCGCAAAGGAAUGAUGUAUGCCAAAAGAUACUGCAUUAGGAUCUUCAUUAACUGGAGGGCCAAUAAAUUU
This 921-nucleotide long non-coding RNA is filed under the name Homo sapiens (human). Its description in RNAcentral is "HSALNT0332727". The record is from RNAcentral. Lineage: Eukaryota; Metazoa; Chordata; Mammalia; Primates; Hominidae.